This is a long non-coding RNA of Piliocolobus tephrosceles (Ugandan red Colobus), 792 nucleotides long. RefSeq lists it as uncharacterized. NCBI's taxonomy places the organism in Eukaryota, Metazoa, Chordata, Mammalia, Primates, Cercopithecidae. The record is from RefSeq and is a predicted model, not a curated record. The transcript is spliced from 2 exons.
UGCUGCUUGACCUGCGGCUGGGUGAGCAGGCGCAGGGUUCCCUUCUCUUGGCUUCCCGUCCCUUUGCGGUCAGGGUACCUGGGCAGGGCUCGGGGCAGCCUGGAAGCCAAUCAUUUCUCUCUUGCUCUGGAACUCUGUGUUCUGCCAGGGACACGGUUUGUGGGGCAUGCCUGUGGACUUCCACGCAGCUGGUGGGAUAAAUGAAGAUUUUGAGGCCAAAGGAGAAUUGCAGGGAAGAUAAAUCCUGAACACUUUUCAAACAUUUCAGAAUGCACACUCCCUUUGAAGAGUAAAAAAGGAUAUUUGUCGCCCUGGCUUGUCCCCAGACCUUCGGUGCAGGGGGUGGAAGCGGUUCCUGGAUGGCCUCUCCACCAGCCCGUGAUGGCGGGUUCCCCGAACAUUAUCAGCUUGGUGAAAUGACGGCUGCAGAGAGAAGGGAAGAAGAGUUGGCCUCCAACCAUGAAAUUGUCACUCACCCCCAAGAACAACUGAUAACAACAGCAGAUGAAAGGACCGAUUUUACAGUUUUACUUAUUAUACAUUAGUGGGCCUUGAGUCAAGGUAAAUAAAGUAGUAUAUGGAACCAUUUCUUUAUAAUAACCUAAAAAUAAUGAAAAAUAGUCUGUAGUGUGUUAAGAGGAAAGCUGAAAGAAGAAUAAAAGCUGUCAUGCAAUUGGGGGAGGAGAAUCAGAAGAUGGUGAAUUCAUAUACUAAAUCCCAGAAAACUAGAAAGGACACUCUGAAAUGUAAAAGAGGUAAUAUUAAAGAAACUGGCAAGCCAUGAGGCACCUA